Molecule: ribosomal RNA, 476 nt
Filed under: Porphyromonas gulae
Lineage: Bacteria; Pseudomonadati; Bacteroidota; Bacteroidia; Bacteroidales; Porphyromonadaceae
Description: bacterial SSU rRNA
Rfam family: Bacterial small subunit ribosomal RNA
Source: RNAcentral
GAGUUUGAUUAUGGCUCAGGAUGAACGCUAGCGAUAGGCUUAACACAUGCAAGUCGAGGGGCAGCAUGAACUUAGCUUGCUAAGUUUGAUGGCGACCGGCGCACGGGUGCGUAACGCGUAUGCAACUUGCCUUACAGAGGGGGAUAACCCGUUGAAAGGCGGACUAAUACCGCAUACACUUGCUUGGUUGCAUGAUCGGGCAAGGAAAUAUUUAUAGCUGUAAGAUAGGCAUGCGUCCCAUUAGCUGGUUGGUGAGGUAACGGCUCACCAAGGCAACGAUGGGUAGGGGAACUGAGAGGUUUAUCCCCCACACUGGUACUGAGACACGGACCAGACUCCUACGGGAGGCAGCAGUGAGGAAUAUUGGUCAAUGGGCGAGAGCCUGAACCAGCCAAGUCGCGUGAAGGAAGACUGUCCUAAGGAUUGUAAACUUCUUUUAUACGGGAAUAACGGGCGAUACGCGUAAUGCUAUGAAU